RNAcentral lists this ribosomal RNA (430 nucleotides) under uncultured bacterium. RNAcentral describes it as "bacterial SSU rRNA". It matches the Rfam family "Bacterial small subunit ribosomal RNA", at positions 355 to 776 of the family's 1533-position model. The record is from RNAcentral.
UGGGGAAUUGUUCGCAAUGGGCGCAAGCCUGACGACGCAACGCCGCGUGGAGGAUGAAGGUCUUCGGAUUGUAAACUCCUGUUGACCGGGAAGAAUGGGCUCCGACUUAAUACGUCGGGGCAAUGACGGUACCGGUUGAGGAAGCCACGGCUAACUCUGUGCCAGCAGCCGCGGUAAUACAGAGGUGGCAAGCGUUGUUCGGAAUUACUGGGCGUAAAGGGCGCGUAGGCGGCUCGCUAAGUCAGACGUGAAAUCCCCCGGCUUAACCUGGGAACUGCGUCUGAUACUGGCAAGCUUGAGUGCGGGAGAGGGAUGUGGAAUUCCAGGUGUAGCGGUGAAAUGCGUAGAUAUCUGGAGGAACACCGGUGGCGAAGGCGGCAUCCUGGACCGACACUGACGCUGAGGCGCGAAAGCUAGGGGAGCAAACGGG